This 77-nucleotide transfer RNA is filed under the name Kribbella speibonae. RNAcentral's name for it is "Kribbella sp. YM55 tRNA-OTHER". It matches the Rfam family "tRNA". From Rfam's summary of the family: Transfer RNA (tRNA) molecules are approximately 80 nucleotides in length. Their secondary structure includes four short double-helical elements and three loops (D, anti-codon, and T loops). Further hydrogen bonds mediate the characteristic L-shaped molecular structure. tRNAs have two regions of fundamental functional importance: the anti-codon, which is responsible for specific mRNA codon recognition, and the 3' end, to which the tRNAs corresponding amino acid is attached (by aminoacyl-tRNA synthetases). tRNAs cope with the degeneracy of the genetic code in two manners: having more than one tRNA (with a specific anti-codon) for a particular amino acid; and 'wobble' base-pairing, i.e. permitting non-standard base-pairing at the 3rd anti-codon position. The record is from RNAcentral. Lineage: Bacteria; Bacillati; Actinomycetota; Actinomycetes; Propionibacteriales; Kribbellaceae.
GCCCUGGUAUUCCAAUUGGCAGAGAAUGCGGAUUCAAAACCCGUACAGUGUGGGUUCGAGUCCCACCCAGGGCACCA